Molecule: ribosomal RNA, 248 nt
Filed under: uncultured crenarchaeote
Lineage: Archaea; Thermoproteati; Thermoproteota
Description: partial 16S ribosomal RNA
Rfam family: Archaeal small subunit ribosomal RNA
Source: RNAcentral
AGCUCUUCAAGUGGUCGGGACAAUUAUUGAGCUUAAAGUGUCCGUAGCCGGUUUGGUAAGUCCCUGGUUAAAUCUGGUAGCUUAACUAUCAGUUGGCUAGGGAAACUGCCUCGCUAGAGGGCGGGAAAGGUCUGAGGUACUCCAGGGGUAGCGGUGAAAUGCGAUAAUCCUUGGGGGACCACCAGUGGCGAAGGCGUCAGACUGGAACGCGCCUGACGGUGAGGGACGAAAGCCAGGGGAGCGAACGG